RNAcentral lists this ribosomal RNA (857 nucleotides) under Rana sauteri (Taiwan groove-toed frog). RNAcentral's name for it is "partial 16S rRNA". It matches the Rfam family "Bacterial large subunit ribosomal RNA", at positions 1422 to 2594 of the family's 2925-position model. Lineage: Eukaryota; Metazoa; Chordata; Amphibia; Anura; Ranidae. The record is from RNAcentral.
UAAAGCUUAACUACCCCCUACUCACAAUACCUAGAAUAUUCACUAACCCUUAACUUCUAUUGAACAAUUUUAUACCCUAUAAAAGCUAUUAUGCUAGAACUAGUAAUAAGAAACUGCCUUUCUCCUAAAUGUAGACAUAAGCCAAAAUAGACAAUCUAUCGGCUAUUAACGUAAAUGCCAAACUAUAGUAACACCCACUAGAAAAUCCUAUAGCCCUUAACGUUAACCUUACACCAGAACAUUACAGGAAAGAUUAAAAGAAAAAGAAGGAACUCGGCAAAUUUUAGCCCCGCCUGUUUACCAAAAACAUCGCCUCUUGACAAAACAUAAGAGGUCCAGCCUGCCCAGUGACAAAGUUCAACGGCCGCGGUACCCUAACCGUGCGAAGGUAGCAUAAUCACUUGUUCUUUAAAUGGGGACUCGUAUCAACGGCACUACGAGGGCUAUACUGUCUCCUUUUUCUAAUCAAUGAAACUGAUCUCCCCGUGAAGAAGCGGGCAUCAAAAUAUAAGACGAGAAGACCCCAUGGAGCUUUAAACUCACUAUGCACCUCUGUGCCCCUACCACAUAACACAAGUAGUCCUGCAUAUUAGUUUUAGGUUGGGGGGACCACGGAGUACAAAUUAACCUCCACAACAAACGGGCUAACACCCUUACCCACGAGACACAACUCUAAGAAUUACUAAACUAAUGCUUACGACCCGAUAUUCGAUCAAUGAACCAAGUUACCCUGGGGAUAACAGCGCAAUCUACUUCAAGAGCCCAUAUCGACAAGUAGGUUUACGACCUCGAUGUUGGAUCAGGGUAUCCUGGUGGUGCAGCCGCUACCGAUGGUUCGUUUGUUCAACGAUUAAAAC